This 28-nucleotide ribosomal RNA is filed under the name Phyllosticta citricarpa. RNAcentral's name for it is "partial 28S ribosomal RNA". Lineage: Eukaryota; Fungi; Ascomycota; Dothideomycetes; Botryosphaeriales; Phyllostictaceae. The record is from RNAcentral.
UUGACCUCGGAUCAGGUAGGGAUAUAAU